AACCUGUCUGCAGUUCUGGGAGAGGAGCUUUUCUUCUGUGUGUCCUUUCUCUCCUAAGGACUGACACUGUAGAGCCUGAACAAUGGGUUUUGGACUGAAUGGAACUUUCAUUCUGAUUAUUUUACAAGGUGUCCAUUGUGAUGUUCAGCUGGUAGAGUGUGGGGGUGAUGUGAGACAGCCUGGAGGAUAUCUUAGCCUUUCCUGCAAAGCUUCUGGAUUCACUUAAGACUCUGUGAAAGGCU
This is a long non-coding RNA of Vombatus ursinus (common wombat), 242 nucleotides long. RefSeq lists it as uncharacterized. The record is from RefSeq and is a predicted model, not a curated record. NCBI's taxonomy places the organism in Eukaryota, Metazoa, Chordata, Mammalia, Diprotodontia, Vombatidae. The transcript is spliced from 3 exons.